UGUCCAAGGUUAAAGAAAACAUUUUCUUCUCUAUAAACCAUUUCAAUAGGCAUGAACUGAGGAUAAGAGACAUAUUCUCACCACUAUGUCGACCCGAAACAUGGAGGAAAUUGAUAAUUCUCUUCUGUAUUUCCCAAUCAUCAUCUUCCCAAUGUACUGUGACACACAUGUAGCCUUUAUUCUGAUUUGAUGUCCACAUGUCCAUAGUAGCACUCAUGCGACAAUUGAGGGUUUUGAAAUACUUAUACAACACAUCCUUUUCAUGCAAGUAGAGUUCCAGAAUUUCUUUCCUAAUAGUGACACGUGACUUCAUAGGAAAGGUAGGCUUCAAUGAUUUAAUGAAUUCCACAAAGUAUUCAUGCUCAGCAAUGUUAAAUGGAUACUCAUG
RNAcentral lists this long non-coding RNA (388 nucleotides) under Zea mays. Its description in RNAcentral is "drought responsive lncRNA". The record is from RNAcentral. Lineage: Eukaryota; Viridiplantae; Streptophyta; Magnoliopsida; Poales; Poaceae.